AUUGAACGCUGGCGGCAGGCCUAACACAUGCAAGUCGAACGGUAGCACAGAGAGCUUGCUCUCGGGUGACGAGUGGCGGACGGGUGAGUAAUGUCUGGGAAACUGCCCGAUGGAGGGGGAUAACUACUGGAAACGGUAGCUAAUACCGCAUAAUGUCGCACGACCAAAGAGGGGGACCUUCGGGCCUCUUGCCAUCGGAUGUGCCCAGAUGGGAUUAGCUAGUUGGUGAGGUAAUGGCUCACCAAGGCGACGAUCCCUAGCUGGUCUGAGAGGAUGACCAGCCACACUGGAACUGAGACACGGUCCAGACUCCUACGGGAGGCAGCAGUGGGGAAUAUUGCACAAUGGGCGCAAGCCUGAUGCAGCCAUGCCGCGUGUAUGAAGAAGGCCUUCGGGUUGUAAAGUACUUUCAGCGGGGAGGAAGGCAAUGCGGUUAAUAACCGUGUUGAUUGACGUUACCCGCAGAAGAAGCACCGGCUAACUCCGUG
This 488-nucleotide ribosomal RNA is filed under the name uncultured bacterium. Its description in RNAcentral is "partial 16S ribosomal RNA". It matches the Rfam family "Bacterial small subunit ribosomal RNA", at positions 30 to 507 of the family's 1533-position model. The record is from RNAcentral.